UACGUAGGGUGCAAGCGUUUGUCCGGAAUUAUUGGGCGUAAAGAGCUCGUAGGCGGCUCGUCGCGUCGGCUGUGAAAACCUGGGGCUCAACCCCGGGCCUGCAGCCGAUACGGGCGAGCUAGAAUUCGGUAGGGAGGACUGGAAUUCCUGGAUGUGAGCGGUGGAAAUACGUAGAGAUCGGAAAGAACACCAACGGCGAAAGCACUCUGCUGGGCCAACACUGACACUGAGAGACGAAAGCUAGGGGAGCGAAUGGG
Molecule: ribosomal RNA, 257 nt
Filed under: uncultured bacterium
Lineage: Bacteria
Description: partial 16S ribosomal RNA
Rfam family: Bacterial small subunit ribosomal RNA
Source: RNAcentral